ACACCCCUGAUUUUUUAUAUAUUAUUAUUGGGCUUCGUGUAGGUAUCCUCAAUUCGCGGAAAUUCGACAGUUGUCCGGAUCUGUGAAUUUCCGGCCAGACAGACCAGCUACCGGAAAAGUCUCCGAAUUGGAUCGAGGUUUUGGCUACCCCACCAUUGUCAGGCAUCCCGAGCGCGUUCCCGAAGUCGGAAUCGGCAAAGGUGAGCCGGGACAGCCUUCUUCCUCCGCCCAGCCGCCACAGUGAUUGUCGUCAAGUCUGCCACAGGAGGAUAUUUUUUUGAGGUUAACCUGCUUUCUCCCUCGCAGGUCGAUUACUACUGUUUGUAUAAACUUGUUAAAUCUUAGAAUUUCCGCAUGUGUUAGAAAUGUUUAUUUGAUUUGGGU
Molecule: long non-coding RNA, 384 nt
Organism: Hevea brasiliensis (rubber tree)
Lineage: Eukaryota; Viridiplantae; Streptophyta; Magnoliopsida; Malpighiales; Euphorbiaceae
Exons: 3
Source: RefSeq, a predicted model, not a curated record